GGUAAUCGAAUGCGGCUUUAAAGAUAAUUAAAAUAUGAAACGGCAAAACUAACCGUGGGGAAUUUUAUCAUGAUUUAUUGUCAAACCGGUAAUCGUUCCAUCCCUAGUCGCUGGUUAGCCUCUGGUAUGUCUGUUUGCUUUCAUGUGUUUUUGAGGAGGUGUGGCUUUGGAGAGUGAUUUGCAGGAAGGGUGGAAUCUUAUGCUUUCAAAGCUAGCUUGCUAUUGCUAUUCUCUUCAAAAACACCUGCCCUACCUUUAAAGUCAUAAAAGUUCACCCAUAAAUUAACAUUGGGCCUUAAUGUACUAUUUACAUAACUAGCAGUAAAAUCUCAUGUUCUUACGUUGAUUUUGUCCUCUCUUCUUCAUCUCAGAUCCCGUCGGUCAGAUGGCAGGAGAUCAGUGGACUGCAGCAGGUUAAGAAGGAGAUUCUGGACAUGAUUCAGCUUCCUCUGGAGCAUCCAGAGCUGCUUUCGCAGGGACUGUGGCGCUCUGGACUGCUGAUUCUAUGGGCCGCCGGGCACCGGAAAAACCCUGCUGGCUAAAGCCGUCGCCACCGAGUGUACCAUGACCUUCCUCAGCGUGAAGGGCCCUGAACUCAUCAACAUGUACGUUGGUCAGAGUGAAGAGAACAGCUUUGUUACUGACAGUCUUCAUCCUAUCCAUUUAAUGUUAUUUAUUUUUUUUAUAGACAAAAUGAAAUGAUGCUCUAAAGAAGAAACCAAAACUGCCAGCAGGUGGUGGCAGCAAAUGUCUUUAUGAGUCAUUCAUUCAUUCAUUCAUUCAUUCAUUCCUUUGAAUUGUUCAAACGGCUGAUUCAUUCAGUAAUGAAGUAAAUGUCACUCUUUAUGAAUGGGCUUUAAAUCAUUGGUUCACACAAUUAAUUCAAAAUGAGGAUUCAUUUACAAACUAAACACCGCUAUUGCUCACAGGUGCACAACAGUUUUGCAUUGGCCUUAUAGGUAAUAUUUUCAAUAGCAAAACUGAGCAAAAACACAAUAUUGUGUUUAAAAUAUGUA
Long non-coding RNA from Cyprinus carpio (common carp), 1016 nucleotides. The record is from Ensembl. Lineage: Eukaryota; Metazoa; Chordata; Actinopteri; Cypriniformes; Cyprinidae.